RNAcentral lists this unclassified non-coding RNA (345 nucleotides) under soil metagenome. RNAcentral describes it as "partial contains 5.8S ribosomal RNA, internal transcribed spacer 2, and large subunit ribosomal RNA". The stretch from base 1 to 121 matches the Rfam family "5.8S ribosomal RNA", at positions 35 to 154 of the family's 154-position model. The record is from RNAcentral.
GAUGAAGAACGCAGCGAAAUGCGAUAAGUAAUGCGAAUUGCAGAAUUUCCGUGAGUCAUCGAAUCUUUGAACGCACAUUGCGCCCACUGGUAUUCCGGUGGGCAUGCCUGUUCGAGCGUCAUUAUCCUCCCUCAAACCCCGGGUUUGGUGUUGGACCCAAGUUGUGUGAACAACUGGUCUCAAAGACAAUGACGGCGUCCGUGGGACCCUCGGUGCAACGAGCUUUUAGGAGCACGCAUCGAGUUGCAAGGACCUUACGGGCCGGUCUCCUUUACCAUUUUACAAGGUUGACCUCGGAUCAGGUAGGAAUACCCGCUGAACUUAAGCAUAUCAAUAAGCGGAGGA